RNAcentral lists this transfer RNA (68 nucleotides) under Loxosceles similis. RNAcentral describes it as "tRNA-Ile". Lineage: Eukaryota; Metazoa; Arthropoda; Arachnida; Araneae; Sicariidae. The record is from RNAcentral.
AAUAAUGAACCUAAUUUAGGAUGAACUUGAUAGGUUUAUUAAGAUAAAUAGAUAUUGCUAUCUUUUUA